ACCAUCUGAUUUGGACACGCA
This 21-nucleotide microRNA is filed under the name Gallus gallus (chicken). RNAcentral describes it as "gga-miR-1593". The record is from miRBase by way of RNAcentral. Lineage: Eukaryota; Metazoa; Chordata; Aves; Galliformes; Phasianidae.